Molecule: ribosomal RNA, 497 nt
Filed under: uncultured bacterium
Lineage: Bacteria
Description: partial 16S ribosomal RNA
Rfam family: Bacterial small subunit ribosomal RNA
Source: RNAcentral
GAUGAACGCUGGCGGCGUGCCUAAUACAUGCAAGUCGAGCGAACAGAUGAGGAGCUUGCUCCUCUGACGUUAGCGGCGGACGGGUGAGUAACACGUGGAUAACCUACCUAUAAGACUGGGAUAACUUCGGGAAACCGGAGCUAAUACCGGAUAAUAUAUUGAACCGCAUGGUUCAUUAGUGAAAGCCGUUUUUGCUGUCCCUUAUUGAUGGUUCCGCGCCGCAUUAGCUAGUUGGUAAGGUAACGGCUUACCAAGGCAACGAUGCGUAGCCGACCUGAGAGGGUGAUCAGCCACACUGGAACUGAGACACGGUCCAGACUCCUACGGGAGGCAGCAGUAGGGAAUCUUCCGCAAUGGGCGAAAGCCUGACGGAGCAACGCCGCGUGAGUGAUGAAGGUCUUCGGGUCGUAAAACUCUUUUGUUAGGGAAGAACAGAUGUGUGAGUAACUAUGCACGUCUUGACGGUACCUGAUCAGAAAGCCACGGCUAACUACGUG